GUGUCAGCAGCCGCGGUAAUACGGAGGAUGCAAGCGUUAUCCGGAAUGAUUGGGCGUAAAGCGUCCGCAGGUGGCCAUGUAAGUCUGCUGUUAAAGAGCAAGGCUCAACCUUGUAAAGGCAGUGGAAACUACACGGCUAGAGUGCGUUCGGGGCAGAGGGAAUUCCUGGUGUAGCGGUGAAAUGCGUAGAGAUCAGGAAGAACACCGGUGGCGAAAGCGCUCUGCUAGGCCGCAACUGACACUGAGGGACGAAAGCUAGGGGAGCGAAUGGGAUUAGAUACCCCAGUAGUCC
This 292-nucleotide ribosomal RNA is filed under the name uncultured bacterium. Its description in RNAcentral is "partial 16S ribosomal RNA". It matches the Rfam family "Bacterial small subunit ribosomal RNA", at positions 505 to 796 of the family's 1533-position model. The record is from RNAcentral.